This 429-nucleotide ribosomal RNA is filed under the name Bacteroidota bacterium. RNAcentral describes it as "Bacteroidetes bacterium partial 16S ribosomal RNA". It matches the Rfam family "Bacterial small subunit ribosomal RNA", at positions 355 to 776 of the family's 1533-position model. Lineage: Bacteria; Pseudomonadati; Bacteroidota. The record is from RNAcentral.
UAGGGAAUCUUCCGCAAUGGACGCAAGUCUGACGGAGCAACGCCGCGUGAGUGAAGAAGGAUUUCGGUUCGUAAAACUCUGUUGUUAGAGAAGAACAGCGCAUAGAGUAACUGUUAUGCGUGUGACGGUAUCUAACCAGAAAGCCACGGCUAACUACGUGCCAGCAGCCGCGGUAAUACGUAGGUGGCAAGCGUUGUCCGGAUUUAUUGGGCGUAAAGCGAGCGCAGGCGGUCAAUUAAGUCUGAUGUGAAAGCCCCCGGCUCAACCGGGGAGGGUCAUUGGAAACUGGUUGACUUGAGUGCAGAAGAGGAGAGUGGAAUUCCAUGUGUAACGGUGAAAUGCGUAGAUAUAUGGAGGAACACCAGUGGAGAAGGCGACUCUCUGGUCUGUAACUGACGCUGAGGUUCGAAAGCGUGGGUAGCAAACAGG